Molecule: non-coding RNA, 257 nt
Filed under: Eubacterium sp.
Lineage: Bacteria; Bacillati; Bacillota; Clostridia; Eubacteriales; Eubacteriaceae
Description: T-box sequence
Rfam family: T-box leader
About the family: Uncharged tRNA acts as the effector for transcription antitermination of genes in the T-box leader family. T-boxes are found upstream of many aminoacyl-tRNA synthetase genes and some amino acid biosynthetic genes usually in Gram-positive bacteria.
Source: RNAcentral
GCAAAAGCAAUGAAGGUGUUAAGUAGAGAACUGUACUGCUUACAGAGAGAGAGGAUCACCGGCUGCAAAUCCUUUUAAGAGAAGACAGGAAUCGAAUUUCCCACCGGAGCUGCAUAUCUGAAACAGGUUUCAGGAGUAGGAUAUGACGUAGCCUGCACGUUACGCAGAAAGAGUGUCCGGUAUCCCUGUAUUCGGAAGAAUGCAGCAGAAGGAAACCGGAAAAUCAGGGUGGUACCGCGGAAUAUUUCGCCCCUGUG